AACGAACGCUGGCGGCAGGCUUAACACAUGCAAGUCGAACGCGUGUAGCAAUACACGAGUGGCGCACGGGUGAGUAACGCGUGGAUAUCUGCCUUUUGGUUCGGAAUAACCCCGGGAAACUGGGGCUAAUACCGGAUGGUUCCUUCGGGAUAAAGAUUUAUCGCCAAAAGAUGAGUCCGCGUACGAUUAGCUAGUUGGUGAGGUAAUGGCUCACCAAGGCGACGAUCGUUAGCUGGUCUGAGAGGACGAUCAGCCACACUGGGACUGAGACACGGCCCAGACUCCUACGGGAGGCAGCAGUGGGGAAUAUUGGACAAUGGGGGCAACCCUGAUCCAGCCAUGCCGCGUGAGUGAUGAAGGCCUUCGGUUGUAAAGCUCUUUGGCGGGGACGGAUGAUGACGGUA
This 404-nucleotide ribosomal RNA is filed under the name uncultured bacterium. RNAcentral describes it as "bacterial SSU rRNA". It matches the Rfam family "Bacterial small subunit ribosomal RNA", at positions 29 to 477 of the family's 1533-position model. The record is from RNAcentral.